This is a long non-coding RNA of Asparagus officinalis (garden asparagus), 1819 nucleotides long. RefSeq lists it as uncharacterized. The record is from RefSeq and is a predicted model, not a curated record. NCBI's taxonomy places the organism in Eukaryota, Viridiplantae, Streptophyta, Magnoliopsida, Asparagales, Asparagaceae. The transcript has 3 exons.
AAAAAAACAGUCGGUUUUGAAAAAAAAAAAAAAUUCAGUCGGUUUUGAAAAAUUGUUCUUGGUUGAUACGUCGUCACUGCAAAUUGCCGUCCCCAGGUUAAGCCUCGAGGAAAGCUGAAGCUGAACGUCGCUGAAAGGUUUUUGUAAGGUGAUAUGGGAGAUCAAAUGAACCAAAGUCCUUCCAGUAGGAACCUGGAUACCAAUUCUCAAUUUGCAUAUUAUUGCAUGACGUUCUCUCACAGUCUAACUGGUGAUAUGUCUUGCCAUGAUUUCCUGAGAAGAGAAGAACUGCUAAAGGAGCAUGAGCAUCAAUGACCCUUCUGUAACAACAGAACACUUUUUCUAUGAGACCGAUUUGCAGCACUCAUUGAGCCAUUCUAGCAGCAGGAUCCUUCGACGGUCGAAGGACAGGAACCACUCCUAUACAUGUCAAGCUCUCGCUCUCGCUCUCGAUCAAUUAAUUCAUGCCUCCUCUGCUCUCGAAGAAGAAGCCCCAAGUCCUCGCCACUAAAGCCCUAAUUCUGAAGCUCAACAACCGACCACUCCCCAAACCGACAGCACGCACUAAAAUUAGCCCAAAAUCAAGAGAUGGAAGCAGAAAGGAGCAAUCUUUUCAUGAUGCCCCCACCGAAAUCGACGAUCGAUUCCGCCAUUAGAGAGCUUGAAAAGUGAGUGCUGAGUAAAGAGAGGAGAAAGUGGAGGAGAGUGACUAAGAGAACGAUGAUCCAGAUGAAAUUUUUUUCUAAAUUCCUCUGCCUACCCUCGCGUGAGGAGGCGGAACAAGCGUUGUUCCGCCUUCUUACGAGGAAUUGUUAACCCUUCUUUUGACGGGUUAAAUGUGUUUUUGGGGUCACGUGAGGGUUUGUUAACCCUUUGCUUUUUUUUCCUGUUUGGCAGGCUAAUGAGGGAUUAAACUACCUUAACCCCUCAUUUAGCCCCUUGCCAAACGCAGCCUAAGUGAAAUUACUUUUUUGGGUGUGGAACCACUGUCAACUACCUUAUCCUUCAAAUUUAGGAUGUGAGAGAGAUUUUUAAGGAAACAAACUACACCAACUGCUUGGGAACAACGAAGCUGUUGGCCAUUUUUAAAUCGUAGGAGAUCAAGUUGCACUUUAUGGAGGCAAACUGAUGUCGGAAAAGGGUUGUUUAAAUAUCAGUCCCACAAAUCUUACAUAUUUUCAAAUUAGUCCCCCAGAUUAUUGAAAUUCCUAUUAGGUCCCUCAAAUCAUUCAAUCUCUUACAAUUAGGUUCCACUUCGAUUUAACAUGUUCUUGCUUAAUUGGGGUUGGGUUAGGUGUUUAUCCCACAUGCUAAUUACUAAAGCGCACUUAGGUGUGUAUUUCCCCCACAAAAUCCUCAUUUCCCUUGUUCCCCUCUAUGACUCUAUUCAAUGUUCUUGUGAUCGAAAAGGGAAAUAAAAAUUCGCUACUUCCUCCUUAUUUCCCCUACUGAUCUCUCCCCCAAAUAAUUGAAAGUUUUCCCUUUUAGCAUUUUUCUUCAUAAUCUUAGUAAGGAAAAUGAGGAUUUUAUGGGGGAAAUACACCUAAGGGCACUUUAGUAAUUAGCAUGUGAGAUAAUACCUAACCCAAUCCUAAUUAAACAAUACGUGUUAAGUCAAACAGAGGGACCUAACUGUAAGAGAUUAGAUGAUUUGAGCGACCUAAUAGGAAUCUCCAUGAUUUGGGGGACUAAUUUAAAAAAAAUUAAAAAAUUGAAAUAACCAAAAAAAAGAUGGAAAAAUACUCGGAUAGCUGGGGUUGUUGAGAAGGUUGCUUAGCAAGAGGCUGCUGGCUGCAGCAGAGGGUAGUUGGGCACUGCU